RNAcentral lists this ribosomal RNA (500 nucleotides) under uncultured Glomeromycotina. RNAcentral describes it as "partial small subunit ribosomal RNA". It matches the Rfam family "Eukaryotic small subunit ribosomal RNA", at positions 591 to 1092 of the family's 1831-position model. Lineage: Eukaryota; Fungi; Glomeromycota. The record is from RNAcentral.
CCAAUAGCGUAUAUUAAAGUUGUUGCAGUUAAAAAGCUCGUAGUUGAAUUUCGGGGUUAGUAAGUUGGUCGUGCCACUGGUAUGUACUGGCUUUACUGAUUCCUCCUUCUUGUAGAACCGUAAUGCCAUUAAGUUGGUGUUGCGGGGAAACAGGACUGUUACUUUGAAAAAAUUAGAGUGUUUAAAGCAGGCUAACGCUUGAAUACAUUAGCAUGGAAUAAUGAAAUAGGACGUUCGAUCCUAUUUUGUUGGUUUCUAGGAUUGACGUAAUGAUUAAUAGGGAUAGUUGGGGGUAUUAGUAUUCAAUUGUCAGAGGUGAAAUUCUUGGAUUUAUUGAAGACUAACUACUGCGAAAGCAUUUGCCAAGGAUGUUUUCAUUAAUCAAGAACGAAAGUUAGGGGAUCGAAGACGAUCAGAUACCGUCGUAGUCUUAACCAUAAACUAUGCCGACUAGGGAUCGGAUGAUGUUAAUUUUUUAAUGACUCAUUCGGCGCCUUACG